RNAcentral lists this transfer RNA (55 nucleotides) under Calanus simillimus. RNAcentral's name for it is "tRNA-Ser". Lineage: Eukaryota; Metazoa; Arthropoda; Copepoda; Calanoida; Calanidae. The record is from RNAcentral.
GGUUAUUAAAAAAGAUGUUUUGAAAACAUCUAUUAGAAAAUAUUUCUAAUAACCU